This 445-nucleotide ribosomal RNA is filed under the name uncultured bacterium. RNAcentral's name for it is "partial 16S ribosomal RNA". It matches the Rfam family "Bacterial small subunit ribosomal RNA", at positions 354 to 796 of the family's 1533-position model. The record is from RNAcentral.
GUAGGGAAUAUUGCGCAAUGGAGGCAACUCUGACGCAGCCAUGCCGCGUGCAGGAAGAAGGCGCUACGCGUUGUAAACUGCUUUUAACCGGGAAGAAACCCCAGGACGUGUCCUGGGUUGACGGUACCGGAGGAAUAAGCACCGGCUAACUUCGUGCCAGCAGCCGCGGUAAUACGAAGGGUGCAAGCGUUAUCCGGAUUCAUUGGGUUUAAAGGGUGCGUAGGCGGAGCGUUAAGUCAGUGGUGAAAUCCUGCAGCUUAACUGUAGACUUGCCAUUGAUACUGGCGCUCUUGAGUGCGCUUGAAGUGGGCGGAAUGUGCCGUGUAGCGGUGAAAUGCUUAGAUAUGGCACAGAACACCAAUUGCGAAGGCAGCUCACUAAGGCGAUACUGACGCUGAGGCACGAAAGCGUGGGGAUCGAACAGGAUUAGAAACCCUAGUAGUCC